AGUAAAGUGGCGUACGGGUGAGUAACACGUGGAUCAUCUACCUUUUAGUGGGGAAUACCGUUGGGAAACCGACGACAAUACCGCAUAAGCUCGAGAGAGGAAAGCAGCAAUGCGCUGAAAGAGGAGUCCGCGGCCGAUUAGCUAGUUGGUAGGGUAAUGGCCUACCAAGGCUGUGAUCGGUAGCCGGCCUGAGAGGGCACACGGCCACACUGGCACUGAAACACGGGCCAG
RNAcentral lists this ribosomal RNA (231 nucleotides) under uncultured bacterium. Its description in RNAcentral is "partial 16S ribosomal RNA". It matches the Rfam family "Bacterial small subunit ribosomal RNA", at positions 89 to 334 of the family's 1533-position model. The record is from RNAcentral.